Molecule: small nucleolar RNA, 106 nt
Organism: Diospyros lotus (date-plum)
Lineage: Eukaryota; Viridiplantae; Streptophyta; Magnoliopsida; Ericales; Ebenaceae
Source: RefSeq, a predicted model, not a curated record
AACAUGAGAUUGGGGCAUUUUUGCAUUAAAUCUUGAAAACGAUCCCAUGCUUCAGCGAAACUCUCACCAUCAACUUGCCGAAAUCGCAAGACAUCAUUACGGAGCU